AGGCAGGCGGGCGGGCGCCGGGGAAGCCUCCUUCUGGGCAGCGAGUGAGGGCGGGCGCGCAGGGAGGGAGGGCGGCAGCGAGCCUGCGACGGGAGAGGCGCGGGGAGGAGAGCCCGGCGCGGAACACACGCGCGGAGGAGGAGCCGGGCUCGGCUCCCGGAGAGACCUGCUGGGCGCCCGCGCAGCCCGGAGACCCCUCGCGCCCGGAGCAUGAGCCCGAGCCCCGCCGGAGAGCGGCCGGGAGAGACGGCCUCGGCGCAGCCCUGAGACGCUGGGCCGGGACGCGGGGCGCCCUGGGCGCGGGGCCCGGCCAGGGGGCGGCGGCUCGGGGGGUUGGAGCCCGCGCUGGCGGCGGCCGCCUCGGCGCAGCGCCAUGGGGAGCCCCCGGGCCGCGCGGCUCCCGCUGCUCCUGCGCCCGGUGAAGCUGCUGCGGAGGCGCUUCCGGCUGCUGCUGGCGCUCGCCGUGGUGUCUGUGGGGCUCUGGACUCUGUAUCUGGAACUGGUGGCGUCGGCCCAGGUCGGCGGGAACCCCUUGAACCGGAGGUACGGCAGCUGGAGAGAACUGGCCAAAGCUCUGGCCAGCAGGAACAUUCCAGCUGUGGAUCCACACCUCCAGUUCUACCAUCCCCAGAGGCUGAGCCUCGAGGACCAUGACAUUGACCAAGGGGUGAGCAGUAACAGCAGCUACUUGAAGUGGAACAAGCCUGUCCCCUGGCUCUCAGAGUUCCGGGGCCGCGCUAACCUGCAUGUGUUUGAAGACUGGUGUGGCAGCUCUAUCCAGCAGCUCAGGAGGAACCUGCAUUUCCCACUGUACCCCCAUAUUCGCACAACCCUGAGGAAGCUUGCUGUGUCCCCCAAAUGGACCAACUAUGGCCUCCGCAUCUUUGGCUACCUGCACCCCUUUACUGAUGGGAAAAUCCAGUUUGCCAUUGCUGCAGAUGACAACGCGGAGUUCUGGCUGAGCCUCGAUGACCAGGUCUCAGGCCUCCAGCUGCUGGCCAGUGUGGGCAAGACUGGAAAGGAGUGGACCGCCCCGGGAGAGUUUGGGAAAUUUCGGAGCCAAAUUUCCAAGCCAGUGAGCCUGUCAGCCUCCCACAGGUACUACUUCGAGGUGCUGCACAAGCAGAAUGAGGAGGGCACCGACCACGUGGAAGUUGCGUGGCGACGGAACGACCCUGGAGCCAAGUUCACCAUCAUUGACUCCCUCUCCCUGUCCCUCUUCACAAAUGAGACGUUCCUACAGAUGGAUGAGGUGGGCCACAUCCCACAGACAGCAGCCAGCCACGUGGACUCCUCCAACGCUCUUCCCAGGGAUGAGCAGCCGCCCGCUGACAUGCUUCGGCCUGACCCCCGGGACACCCUCUAUCGAGUGCCUCUGAUCCCCAAGUCGCAUCUCCGCCACGUCCUGCCUGACUGUCCCUACAAACCCAGCUAUCUGGUGGAUGGGCUUCCUCUGCAGCGCUACCAGGGACUCCGGUUUGUUCAUCUGUCUUUUGUUUACCCCAAUGACUAUACCCGCCUGAGCCACAUGGAGACCCACAAUAAAUGUUUCUACCAGGAAAACGCCUACUACCAAGACCGGUUCAGCUUUCAGGAGUACAUCAAGAUUGACCAGCCUGAGAAGCAGGGGCCGGAGCAGCCAGCAGGUUUUGAGGAAAACCUUCUAGAAGAGUCCCAGUAUGGGGAAGUGGCAGAGGAGACCCCUGCCUCCAACAACCAGAAUGCCAGGAUGCUCGAGGGAAGACAGACACCUGCCUCCACCCUGGAGCAAGACGCCACUGACUACCGCCUCCGAAGCCUGCGGAAACUCCUGGCUCAGCCCCGGGAGGGCCUGCUGGCCCCCUUCUCCAAGCGGAACUCCACAGCGUCCUUCCCAGGGAGGACCAGCCACAUUCCAGCGCAGCAGCCAGAGAAGAGGAAGCAAAAACCCAGCCCUGAGCCCAGCCAAGAUUCACCUCAUUCUGACAAGUGGCCUCCUGGGCACCCUGUGAAGAACCUGCCUCAGAUGAGGGGGCCCAGGCCCAGGCCCGCUGGUGACAGCCCCAGGAAGACUCAGUGGCUGAACCAGGUGGAGUCGUACAUCGCAGAGCAGAGACGGGGUGACAGGAUGCGGCCUCAGGCCCCCGGAAGGGGCUGGCAUGGGGAGGAGGAAGUGGUGGCGGCCGCAGGCGAGGAAGGACAAGUGGAGGGAGAGGAAGAGGGGGAAGAAGAGGACGAGGAAGAGGAUAUGAGUGAGGUGUUCGAGUACGUACCUGUGUUUGACCCGGUAGUAAACUGGGACCAGACCUUCAGUGCCCGGAAUCUCGACUUCCAAGCCCUGAGGACUGACUGGAUCGAUCUGAGCUGUAACACAUCUGGCAACCUGCUGCUUCCAGAGCAGGAAGCUCUGGAGGUCACGCGAGUCUUCUUGAAGAAGCUCAACCAGAGGAGCCGGGGGAGGUACCAGCUACAGCGCAUUGUGAACGUGGAAAAGCGUCAGGACCAGCUACGUGGGGGUCGCUACCUCCUGGAGCUUGAACUGUUGGAACAAGGCCAGCGCGUGGUGCGGCUCUCGGAGUAUGUGUCUACACGAGGCUGGCAGGGCAUCGAUCCAGCUGGUGGGGAGGAGGCCGAGGCCCGGAACCUGCAAGGCCUGGUCUGGGACCCACACAACCGUAGGAGACAGGUCCUGAAUACCCGGGCCCAAGAGCCCAAGCUGUGCUGGCCUCAGGGUUUCUCCUGGAGUCACCGAGCCGUGGUCCACUUCGUCGUGCCUGUGAAGAACCAGGCACGCUGGGUACAGCAAUUCAUCAAAGACAUGGAAAACCUGUCCCAGGUCACCGGUGACCCACACUUCAACAUCGUCAUCACUGACUAUAGCAGCGAGGACAUGGAUGUUGAGAUGGCGCUGAAGAGGUCCAAGCUGCGGAGAGGGCUCACCUGCCCAUAAUCCCAUCCCAGGAGCACACAUCAUCUCUCUUCUAUGCCUGCCAACUUCCUCCAGGGGACCACCGCAGCUGAGUCCUGAUACUCAGCCCUCUCUCCCCUUCCUGCAGCUACCAGUACGUGAAGCUAAGUGGAAACUUUGAACGCUCAGCUGGACUUCAGGCUGGCAUAGACCUCGUGAAGGACCCGCACAGCAUCAUCUUCCUCUGUGACCUCCACAUCCACUUCCCAGCUGGAGUCAUCGAUGCCAUUCGGAAGCACUGUGUGGAGGGAAAGAUGGCCUUUGCCCCCAUGGUGAUGAGGCUGCAUUGUGGGGCCACCCCCCAGUGGCCUGAGGGCUACUGGGAGGUGAAUGGGUUCGGGCUGCUUGGCAUCUACAAGUCUGACCUGGACAGGAUUGGGGGCAUGAACACCAAGGAGUUCCGAGACCGCUGGGGCGGGGAAGACUGGGAGCUGCUGGACAGGAUACUCCAAGCGGGCCUGGACGUGGAGCGUCUCUCCCUCAGGAAUUUCUUCCAUCAUUUCCAUUCCAAGCGAGGCAUGUGGAGCCGCCGCCAGAUGAAGACGCUGUAGCCGGAGGGUGUCCGCUGGGCCCAGCACUCCCCGCUCUGGACUAGCAGCGGCUCCCCAGGGCCCUGCUACUGUUCAGGGAUGGGGAGUGGGGUGACGGCUGGACCCCAAGAGGCCUCGAAGCUGACGGCCCACUCCACCUGGAGCUGUCCCCUCACAGAGGCGGGUUCCGGGGCUCCUGUCUCUGCCUCCUGGGCCUUCAGAAGGGAGGACUUUGAGAGAGAGGCCAGGAGGGGCCACUUGCUCAGUCGAGCACGGGAAGAGCUCCUGAGAAGGACGGGUCGGGAAGGAGAGAUCUGACUGAGCGACACCAUCCUCAUCCACGGAGGUGCACGCCCACAUCCCCCAAGCGCUCCUCACGCCAAGCGCUGACACCAGACCCUCUUCUAGUGGACGUGUUUUAUUGGGGGGCGGGGAUUUUAAACACAGAAAACCGAAACUGCUGUCCAGAGCGGGGGUGAGGUUGUGCACUGAGGGACCGUCCCCACGUGCAGGCCUCCCGCCCACUCCUAUGUCCCUUGGGCGUUGUCCCUGGCCGCGGGGCUGGUCCCACGUGGGGCGGGUCUCUGCUCCACCCCAGGCUCGUGCCUUCCAGAGACACACAUCUCCCAGUAGCCACCAAACAGCUGGCCACUGAUUAGGGCAUUAACUUCCUCCGGAUGGCUCACGUCAGACCAGAAGCACAGAACGGGCUGUUUCUGGUGCUUGGGCAUUGGGAGGUGGGGAGCUGGCGGGCAGGGGGCUUGCCACUCCCUGGCACUGGACAUUGAGGCCUGCAGAACAGGCAGGGUGAUGAAGGCAGGGGAGAGAAGCCCUUUCCCUUCCCGGCAUGCCUGUGGGUAAGGCCUCCCGAGAGGACAUGGAGAAGAGGUAAAGAGGAUGUGGACAUAUCUGUCAAUUUCCUUAGGCAAGAAGCGGGUGGGGGCUGGACAGAAAGGGACGAAAAGGGAAGUGGAAGCUGUGAGCCUCACAGUCCAGCUCCACUGCAGACCUGCCCUUCUGCCCACCUGGCCUUGAGUGGAAGAAGAGGAAAGGGUGUAUGGGGGCAAAUCCCUGGACGGGGAGCAGGAUAAGAAGGGGGUGGGAUGAGAGGUUUGGGGAGGUGAGGACAUUGCCCUGAGAUAUCCCCUGGAAGCAGGGAGAGGAGUGGGACAGGAGGAACUGAAGAGUGGGGCAGUUUCAGGGAAAAUAGCCCUUAGCCUUUUUAGUCGACGCCACCCUUUCUGUCACCUGGUGACCUUGUACUUCUCUUGCACUAAUAACCCCGGUGCUUUUGUGGCUGGGGGUUUUUUCUAUUGCUGCUGCUGCCUCCGCCACUGCUGUGAAUUCACCCAUGGUGCAUUGGACACUGGAUCUUGAACUCCAGAGUCUGUUUAGGGAGGUGAGCACAGGGCUGGGGGAGGUGCGGCGGGGCCCAGAAGACCAGGCCACUGAGCCCGCGCUCCAGGCUGUGACGGUCCGAACCACAGCACUGGAGCUGCAGGGUCUGCCUAGUGGGCUCUGCAUUCCCUGAGAGCACGAGUUUGGCACAUGGGAGAAUAGAGCCCGUGGAGAACCUUCUGGGGGUUUGGCGAGAAUCCCUGCCUCCCUUUAAGGAAUCAUGAAGGACAGAGACUUUUGAUAUUGUGGCUUAGGAAGGCCAUACCUGCUCCCUGGGCUGUGGCUUCUUCUGGUCCCUGCUGAGGCCGACUGGCCCCUGGAGAAGGAUCGCGGGGCAUAGGCUGGGGCUGCAGUUGGCCAGUGGGGCUGCCAGUUUCUUUCUGGGACCACUCUCGUCCUCGGGCAUUGCACUGGAAGGCUGGAACCAGCCCAAACUGCCCACCUGCUUCACUUCCAAUGACUAGGAGCCAGCCCAGCCUCCUGCCCUGCCCACACCCCUGCGCCCUGGGCCAGUGCCUUGCGUUUGAUGUUACCUCCACACCAUCUGCCUUAAGAGGAAGGGCCGGGCGAGGCCCCUACUCCCUAGAGAAAUGUCUUGGGUAGGGGAGGGUGUGGGGUGGUGGGAGGGGAAGCAUUAAAUACAGCAACUUCUUAGAAAAAAAAAAAGGUGCUUGUCUUUUCCUGUUGCUCUUCACGGAUGUAAAGGAUUGGGCUGAGGGGCCCAGGUGGGCGUGCCAAGGACCCUCCCACACCACCCUCCACCCUUACCACAAGUGUGAUGCCUGCUGUGUGUGCGAUGGCCUUCUCUGCACUGCAGUUUACUCAGGAAGAAGACAACAUUGUUCCUGUCUGAGCAGCUCACCGUGUAAUAGACUAGGCAUUUUCUGUUCAGCAGAUUAAUGGAGGUUGGUGGUUUUAGCCGAGGAAAGCUAUGGAUACGCUGGGUGGAGAAGGCUAGAUGUAGGGCCAGAACGGUUUGGUGAGCAGUGGAGAGAAGCCAACGAGUGGCUGUUUCUAAACUGGCAGACCUUCUAAAAAUCAUUUCUGUUUGAGUUGGCAAUGCUUUGCUAAUGCUUUACAGAUUUACCUUGCUCGUUAUAUUUGGCCCAGGCAAAGAUCAAAAUGAGUUUGCAGUCCUUAAACACAUGCCUAAGGGAAGCUGAGACUGAAAGCCAGAAUAGCUUACAGCAGGUUCGUGGAGAAGAUUGUGCAUAUGUGCAUCCAUCUGCAAUGGACUAAUCUACAGUUCAUGGGGCAGAUGACGAUAAGCGCAAGGCAUCUGGGCCAGGAACAUUGGCUCCAAGCAGAACCCACAGAGGAGGAAGUAAUUUGAAAGCCUUCCCACCCUCCAGGUCUGCGGUUUGCUCUCUUGAGGCCUCUCCAAGGCACAGAUGGAGACCAGCCUGGAUGCCUGAGCCUGCAGGACUAGACAAGUAAGUGGACUCAAGAGUGGAUUUGAAGAAACCUUUAUAGAUAUAGAUUCCAUUUUACAAGAAGGGAAAACUGAGGCCUGGAGCAGAAGGAAGCAGUGGGGUAGAGUCAGAACCAGCAUCCUUAAGCCGGGCAGACUUGGCCUUAGACAGACAUGCCUUACUUAGGUCCAGCAGAUGCUACCAGGAAGGUAUGGCUGGCAGUACCUGCGUCUGAGCUCAGGACUCCAGACCAAGAUGGAAGUCCCUUAGACCAAUAACAAAAAAAUCACUUUUUAACUCAGGUGCUGUGGGUAGGGAGCAAGGGCAGCUAUACUGUCCUUUCAGAAGCUCUCCUGGGCUGUGGAAAGUGCCCACGAGCCUGGCAGAUCACGGAGGAAGGAGGCAGAAGUUCCAGGCCCAGAACCUGUUGGGGAAGCAGAGAAGAGGCAAUGAGGAUGGCAGGCCAGAUCAAUGCCCCUCAACCUUCAGCAUGCCCAGGAUGCACCUGGCCACGUUACUCAUGCACAUGCCUGUAGCACAUGCUCGAGCAGAGCCUGAGAGUCUGCAUUUCCAGCAAGUUCCUGGGUGGUUUGUGGAUGCUGCUGACCCAUGGACCACAGUCAGUAGCAAGAGCUGCUAGACAGUGGCAGGGAGAAAUGCCCCAUCUCCACCUUUCCUCUUGCCGGAGGGGCAGAGUCAACCACUAAUGGCAUCGCCUCCACCCUGUCCCAGACCGUGGGAAAACCUGAGCCUGAGAGCAGAGAGCCAUUAACACAGCAGUGGGGCUUCGUGCAAGCCUCGCCGAGGCCAGGCUCUUGCAGAUCCUCUCCUUGCUCUCAGAGCUACAGGCCUUCCCCCUUUGUUUGGCAAGGGAUCUGUUUCUUGCCCCAAAGCCCCAGAGGAGAGAGAAGAGCCACCUGGGGAGUCCCUGGAGCUGGGGUUCCUCCAUCCUCCCUCACCUGGGUCCCAGGCUGCAUUCAGAGAGGAUUCCUUGAGGCCCUGGCAGCCAGGAACCCUGUCUUAUGUGCCCCGAAGGCUGUAAUGAAAACAUUGAUGACCACAGUGAAGAAGACCAAGAUGGUGGCUGCGUUGUUGAGCUGGUUGAGUCGCCACUGCUUUUCUACCUCAUUCAGGUUCAGCCGUGCUGCAGGGAAGUGGAGUGGGGGGAAAGGGUCAGAGACGGGGCCACAGCACGGAGCUGCCCCCACAACACCCACCAGAGUUUGGAGAGAGGGGCCCUUCAGAAACCCAUGUGGCAGAAAUCAAGGGAGGUGGUCGUCAUCGGGCUGAGAUGCCUCUGCCCUCGCCAACCAGUAGAUGGGGCACCCUAGUGUGCUUCAUCCCACCAGGAUUUGGGAACUUAAGCUGGGUCCUGUAGGCGUGGGGACGAGUGCUCAUGGAGAAGCGGUGAGCGAGUGAGUGAGUUAGCAGUUAGCGAGGUGCUGGCACAGUCAUUCAGCAGGUACUGCGGAGGGUCUGCUCCAUGGGAUACCAGGAGACAGGACAGGGCGCCUGCCCUCGCGGGGUGGAAGUUGGUCUUUGGGCCUCUGUUAGCGGAGGGCUCGCUGCAGGUCAGCGUGUGGUUGUGAAGCUGCCUGUGCCAAUGCAGGGUGGCCCAGGGGACACGUGGGGCCUUUCUGCCAGCCACGGGUGCCGAGGCAGAAGGCCUGACUGCAGGCUGGGCUCCUCACCAAUGACCACGAGCAGGACACCGAUGACCACCUGCAGGAGCAGAGAGAGGCUGAUGAGGGUGACCAGGGUGGGGUAGUAGUGAGAGGAUGGUCCCUGCUCCAGCACCGCCUUCAGCCGCAUGGCGUUGGACAUGAACAGGGCCACGUCCAGCAUGCUCUCCGCCACGCUCUUCUUGGUGGCGUAAUGGUUCAGGUUGAUGGGCUGGCUCCUGGGGUCGGAGCUUCCAGGCUGUAGGGGAGAAAGCGCAGACUUACGAAGGGGAGCUCUGGAAGGGAAGCAGUUGAGAGGUGGGAGAGAGGAGAGAGGUCUUAAAGCUCUUUCCAAACCAGAUGGGAAGCUCAGGGCAAAUGACACCCUUAGUUUCAUGGCCUGAUAAAAUGAAGGGUUGGACGAGAAAACCCAUAAGGACCUCUGCACUCUGAAAUGACUUUCUGUUGCAGUUGAUACUUCCUGGAGAGUCACCCCUUCCCUCACACCUUCACACAUCUGGCUGGAGAAAGCCGGGAGGGUUCUCUGCUGCUGGUAAAAUGCACCUUCCUCACCCUAUUCACUAUUUUACCUGGGCCAGGCCUCAGCUUUGGGCUGUGUUCUUUUCCUCUGAGAGGAAAGCACCUGAGAAGACAAUAAAAAGAGCUUGGAGGCUUGGGUGAAAUAGAGAAAGGCACCUCCUCUCGCAUAAUGCCAUGGCCCCCAAGGCAGGGUGCACAGCUCAGCAGCUGAUCAUCAGCUGGAUUUCCAACCCUCAGGAGCACUGGAGCUGCCGCCCUGCUCAGGCACACACGCUGUCAGACACAGGCUCUCAGCAUACACAUGCAUGCAUGCAUGAGUGUAUACACACAGUAAUGCAUACUAAACACUCACAUCAUUUUAAUUAUUACUUUUGGCUAGGAUUUAUUGAAGCAUAAUUUACUAAAGCUUCUCCAGAAGCCACUAACUCCAAAAGACAGAAUCACAAUACAGGGCAUAUGCUGUGGGCCUCUGGGUUGGGCCAAGAAAUUCAGACUGGGCGCCAUGACCAAGGGCAAUCUGCAGUCACUCAAGAGUACUUGGAAGAUUGAUUUAGCAGUGGUGCUUGGAACAGAUUGGGCCAGGAAGGGCUAGAAGCAGGGAGAGUCAUUUAAAAGUUACAGUAUUGAUUUAGGAUCAGGGUGAAAAGGAACUGAAGUGGAGCAAGGUGAGACAGGAAGGAAUGGAGGACUCUGAAGGAUGCUACGGCCUGGAGGUAGGGAAGAUGACCAGCAGAUCACCAUGACAGGACAGAUACCUGCCGAGUGGGGAGAGACGGAUGGAUUGAAGGAUGCUACGGCCUGGAGGUAGGGAAGAUGACCCAGCAGAUCACCAUGACAGGACAGAUACCUGCCGAGUGGGGACAGAUGGAUGGAUAGAUGGAUGCGUGCCUAUAUAUGCACAGUGGUGCAUACUAGUUAAACACUCAUAAUUUGUUUUUAAUUUUUUUGGCUAGGAUUUAUUGAAGCAUAAUUUACAUUUGAUUUUGUUUUGAAGUAUAAGGUGAAGGGAUGGAUGGAUGGAUGGAGAGAUUGGUGGGUGGAUGGAUGGAUGGAUGGAUGUGUGGAUGAUUGGAUAGGCAGGUCUCAGAGGGUCUGGAAUGUUCCUUGUACUUCGUGCAGCCCCAGCAAGUCACUUCACUUCUCUGUACCUCAGGGAUUUACACAGAGGACAGUUGAUUUACACAUAGGCUAACUGAUUUACCUAUCUAUCAGAACCUUUGGAUUCUAUGAGCCCUUAGGAUACCCUGAAAUGAGGCUGAGUGCGGUGGCUCAUGCCCGUAAAACUCCAGCACUUUGAGAGGCCAAGGCAGGGGGAUCAUUUGAGGUCAGGAGUUUGAGACUAGCCUGGCCAACAUGGCAAAAUCCCGUCUCUACUAAAAAUACAAAAAAAUCAGCUGGGUAUGGUGUCACACGCCUGUAAUCCCAGCUACUCAGGAGGCUGAGGCAGGAGAAUCACUUGAACCAGGAGGCAGAGGUUGCAGUGAGCAGAGAUCACACCAUUGCACUCCAGCCUGGGUGGCAGAGUAAGACUCUUGUCUCAAAACAAAAACAAAAACAAAAACAAAACUCUGAAAUGCAGUGGUCUCCAGACUUUCUUGAUAGUGUAAUCUCAGCAUUAAAAACUGUUUUGGCCAUGCAUCCUCAAUAUAUGUACAUUCUUCCAUUAUCAACUGUACAUAUUUUUAUUGGACUAAUUAUAUAUAUAGUAAAAUAUGCAAAAGUAGAAACAUUUGAAAGGAUUACAUAAAAUUCAAUAUAAAUAGAAGUUUAAUUUUCUUAUCCUAAAAUAUGGUCUUGGGCACUCGUCUUUGGAGAUCCAGCUCUAAUCCACAUGCCUGGCUACAGAUUGGACCAAUCCUCUCCUAGGCCAACAGAAGGGAGCCUCUCUUCCCCAGUCCUUCUCCUAACGUUUGCCUUCAAAACUCAGCCCCACGUUUCCACCCUGCUCUUCUCACUUCCUUUCCAAGCUCCUGGCCCUUUGCUCUGUUUGCCAGGAGGGUGCACACGCACAGACACAUUCAAGAGGCACAGGGUGGUCAUGGGUGCUAACAGCACCUGCUCUGAUGGAAUCCACCCUGGCAGCCUGUGCCCCGCAGGCUGCCCCUCUCUGACUCUGUGGACCAGUCACUGGAGGAUCAAACAUACAGGAGUGGCUCUUUCACUCUGACCACACUCCAGGCCAUCAGCUUUCUACACGGGGCAGUUCCCUGCACCUGGGUUGUUCGUUAUUGAGAUUCCGAGUGUCCUCAACUUCUGGUCGGGGCAGGACUCACAGAGGGUAAUCAGGAGUGUGCACUUUGGCCAGUGGAGCAAUUUAAACACUUUCUCUGGGAGAGUAGAAUGGAGACCAGCGGGUAGCAUUCCUUCAAUAGAUUGACUGUACAUGCCAGGCGGUGCUUGGGGCUGUGAGGACCCCAAUGCCAAACAAGGCAUAGUUGCUGUCCCUCCUUGGGAUCCCGGGUAAGCACUGGGCCACAGGCUGCUCACAACAGGCCCUGGCAAACUCCUUUUGACAGCCACCAAAAUCAGGCUGGGGCCCAGGGCCCACAGAAAUAAGAAAAAAGGCCAUAGGCACGAAAGGAAUGGAGUGCUCACUAUCUCUCCCGUCUUCCUUCGUGUUUGAUUUUGCUGGGGCCGGGGUUUCAGCUGGUGCUGGGGGCAGCCAGUGAGGUUGGAGGAGGUAGGGACGGAGGGUGAAUGAGGACCUGCAUGGACUUGGGAGGCCACACAUGGUGUUCAGGGCCUUUGGAAAUCCAGUUCAAGCAAGGCUGGCUUGUCUAGGGCCAGCUGGCCUGGUUGGUUAGGGCCAGGGAUCCCAGGGCCAACACUUCACAAAGGCCCAUGGUCGCUGUCGGCCCCAAGGCUGCAACCUGUGGUCUUAGCCCAUUUGGUGAAGGUUUGUCCUCGGUCUCCAAGAGCACUCAUUAGGCAAGAGAGUCUCACCCCCUGCCCCCAAAUUCAAAGUGUCUCUGCCCAGGUUCAACUGUGCCCCCUGGCCUCCCUGCCCCAUGGCUGUGCCACCCCUCCUCUCUCUUCCCAUCCUCCAGUUUGUCCGGUAGCAGCAAGCUUUGCCCUUUCUCCUCCCUCCUGGUCUAGCUCAGAGGGAGACAGACCCCCUUCCCCCAGAUGUAUUGUUAACAGUGGACAAAACCUUACACCCAAACCUCUAGUGGUAUGUGUUGAGCACUGACCAAAUAGUGGGGGAAGGGGUGGCAGGGGGUGGCAGGGGUGAGUACUCGGGCAGCACAGAGGUCUUCCCAACCUCUAUGGAAGGUAUUGCUAUUUGUAAGUUUUAACAGAGCUGGUUGGCCUUUGUUGUUACAUUAAUCUAAGAGCCAUUGCUUCACAGAGGACGUGAGGCUCGCAGUGUGCUUAGGGGGUGCGCCUCAUCCUUUCCUCUCUAAAUGCGGGGCCGACUCAGGCCUGCCUUUCACUGCGGGUGCUGGGCGGGAUCAGGGUGUCCCCUCCUGCUCCGCAGGCGCCGGUUUUCCAGAGUGUCCACACGGUGGCGCGCGCGGUCCAGAGAAGUGACUUGGGCACCGCGGCUGCCGGGUGGUGUUUCCACCCCGAGGAACCCACGCGCAGGACGGGAUUCAUGGGAAACCUGGACCCCUCCGAGGCCCAGGACGGGAGCCUCGCCCACAAGUCUGGACGGGCCGAACUAAAACCCACCAAACGCGUGCGUCAAGCCAGAGUUCAAGAAUCAACCGAAGGUGAAAUGGGGCCAGCGUGGGGUGGGGAGACCGAGAAGGGAGGGGCCUCCAGCACAACCUGCAGCCCAGGGGACGGCGGGCAGAAGGGCCGUCAGUGAGGCCCUGGGCGAAGGUGCCUGGAAAGGGGUCCUCUCAUUGCAGCAUCUUUAAAAGCAGGGAACGGGUUUUUCUAAUCCUUGUGGGCCAGUUUAGGUGCAGCCCUGCUCAGAGGCAGAGGGAUGGAUGGAAUGACCUGAGGCCCCUCCCUUCUAGUGGGAGGAGAGGAUCAGAUAAAGCCCUAAAUCCUGCAGGGGGUCAUCCUUUUCGCCCACAGCCCAGGGACUGGGAGCAACUCCACAAGGGUCAGGAUGACAAAGGAGUGGGGAGCGCAGCAGGGUGGCCCCGCUCCUGCUCAGAGGAGCUGGCCCUUUAAGGCCAGGCCCAGGCGGGUCGGGAACAGAGACCCGGGAAUGUGGGCUGGACUGAGGAGCAGAGCCACCCAGCAUGAGUCAUUCCUGUUUCACCGGACUCUUCACCGCUGGCUCUCGCUUGCCGCCCUCCCCUUGCCCUGGCCCUGGCCCUGGCCCUGGCCUCUGCGCCCUCCCUGCAGAGCUGGUCCGGGUGGGCUGGCGGCUUCCACCCGCCACAAGCGCACAGGGCUCUGCCCACUCCCCGCCCCUUUUCUGCUGAUCCUCGAGGAGCAGGGGGCCGGUGGGCUAGGACUGCUGGUUUCUGGGCCCAGCUCUGCCUCUGGGCUUGGAACUUUGGUGCUUAGUUUCCACAUCUAUAAAACUGGAGGAAAAUCCCAUCUCUGGAGGGCAGAGGCCAUGGACAGCAGAACGACACUUUGCUCCUUCACAGAAGGAAGGACAGAAUCCAAGCGGUUCCCAUUUUCCCAGGCUGAGAUCCCUCUCUAAAUGAGGCUGGCUCUCGGUAUCUUCCUCAGGUCUCAUUCUGCCCUGCCCCACUUGCCCCUCCCCUGCCACUCAAGGGCGGCAGGACACUGACCCAAGACUCAUUGCUUUGGGCUCCCAGAGUCCCUGUUCAAGGCGCGGUUGCCUGUGGGAAAGGCUGCCCAUCAAAAUCUGGCCAAGCAAUGACACCUGGACAGACGGGGAGUUUGGGGCGGCAUGAAGCUGGAGCGCGGCCAGUGCAGGGAAGGUGGGAGUAGAUCCAGAGUUUGAUCUGGACGCCCCUGGGCAUCUGGGCAACAAGAGGACGUGGGUUUGGUGAUUGGCAUGGGAUGAGGCAGGGGGGUGGGGGACACCAGAGACCCAGCGGUUUGCCCCAUUCCUGGGCCUGCCCGGCACAGUCAUUACCCUCCCUCUUCCGCGCCCUCCUCUCUCGUUCCAGCUCAGACUUCCCUGUCACCUAGGCCUCUUGCCAAGUCCCAGCUCCUAAGGCUGGUGCGAUUCCAUCCCUUGAAGUCAAGGAUUGCUUCAUUGUUCUGCCAGACAGCCCUUUAUCCCUUAAUCCUUGUUGGCCUAUAUUUUUGUUUAUUUACAGAACUUAGGUUGGAUAGGAAAGGAAUGCCUUUUUUAACAGAAAAGUAAACAUGUUUUUCAUUGUUUAUCCGCUUUAUGGUCAGUGGGGACCAUAAGCUCCAACAGAUCAUUCUGCUCUUUCUUGGAAACAAGAUUACAGGGCUGUUCUCCCAGAGGGCCGUGGAGGUUGGGUAAACCCCAGAGUGGUAAGUAACUGCCCUACCAAAAAGCCAUGGAGCCCGCAGAUCAGUGUGUUUAGGCCCUGGGGCCUGUGGCAGGCAGUGUGUGUCCCAUGGGAAGUGUAGGCCUGGUGAGGGGAGUUGUAGCAGCCCGGAGGGCGUCACCAAAGGCACCUUGACCACAUUCCAGCCCUGCUUUAAUGAGUGAGCAAUCCGGGCCGGGAGCACUGGACGCCUUUUCUUAUCUGCGAGGUCGAAGGGACUGGAACACAGGCUUCCUUGGGUCCUUCCUAGCACGGAGUAAUCUAGGGAUGGGAAAGCCGGCUCUGAGCAGAGAAUCCCGGGGGCUGAGGACGUCGCUGAGAGGCCACUGCAGGGCAUGGGUGACCCUCCCAUGAGUCGUUCCUGCCAGCCCUGAGAACACCCACGUGGGAGCUUCCUGUGUGCCAGCUCACAGUCAGGGCUACACACUAGCAGGGAGCUUCCUGUGUGCCAGCGCACAGUCAGGGCUACACACUAGCAGGGAGCUUCCUGUGUGCCAGCGCACAGUCAGGGCUACACACUAGCAGGGAGCUUCCUGUGGGCCAGCGCACAGUCAGGGCUACACACUAGCAGGGAGCUUCCUGUGUGCCAGCGCACAGUCAGGGCUACACACUAGCAGGGAGCUUCCUGUGGGCCAGCGCACAGUCAGGGCUACACACUAGCAGGGAGCUUCCUGUGGGCCAGCGCACAGUCAGGGCUACACACUAGCAGGGAGCUUCCUGUGGGCCAGCGCACAGUCAGGGCUACACACUAGCAGGGAGCUUCCUGUGGGCCAGCGCACAGUCAGGGCUACACACUAGCAGGGAGCUUCCUGUGGGCCAGCUCACAGUCAGGGCUACACACUAGCAGGGAGCUUCCUGUGGGCCAGCGCACAGUCAGGGCUACACACUAGCAGGGAGCUUCCUGUGGGCCAGCGCACAGUCAGGGCUACACACUAGCAGGGAGCUUCCUGUGUGCCAGCGCACAGUCAGGGCUACACACUAGCAGGCCCAGAGGAACAGGGGCCUGUCACCCUGCUGGUGGCCUCAAAAUGACCGACUGCCCGGGAAAGCCAGGCCUCCCUUGAGAAGGGGACAGUGGCGACCUAGGCUUUUGGAAAGCUGAUUUCUCACAAAGGGAAAGGGUGGGUCCCAGCCUGGGAAGAGUGAUUCGUUCAAAGGAAGGGGCUUAGGUGAGCUUUUAAUUCGGUGUCAGUCCCCUUGUCAGAAUUCAGUUGGGAAGGGUGCCUGGGCCUGUCCCACUGUGUGCACACACAGUGGGCUGUCAGCACACUGGAACGAUGGUGGUUCCCACUUACAGAGGACAUACCUUGUGCCUGCCACAGGGUUAAACACAGGACAUGAGUCACCUUAUGUAGUCCUCACAACAGUUCUGCGAAGUAGAUGAGGGCAUCAUCAUCACAGUUGAGAAAAUGGAGGCUCAGAGAGGCUAAGUAACUUGCCCAAGAUCACACAGCACAGAGUUUUAAAUCCCAAUCCUCUAUGUGCCAGAGCCUGUAAUUUUUUUUUUUUUUUUUUUUUUGAGAUGGAGUUUCACUUUUGUUGCCCAGGCUGGAGUGCAGUGGCACAAUCUCAGCUCACUGCAACCUCCCACUCCAGGGUUCAAGCGAUUCUCCUGCCUCAGCCUCCCGAGUAGCUGGGAUUAUAGGUGUGUGCCACCACACCCAGCUAAUUUUUUUUUUUUUUUUUUUUUGAGACAGAGUCUCGCUCUGUCGCCUAGGCUGGAGUGCAGUGGCGCAAUCUCAGCUCACUGCAAGCUCUGCCUCCCGGGUUGAUGCCAUUCUCCUGCCUCAGCCUCCCGAGUAGCUGGGACUACAGGCGCCUGCCACCACACCCGGCUAAUUUUUCUUAUUUUUAGUAGAGACGGGGUUUCACCAUGUUGCCCAGGCUCGUCUCGAACUCAUGACCUCAGGUGAUUCACCUGCCUCAGCCUCCCAAAGUACUGGGAUUAUAGGCGUGAGCCACCACACCAGGCCCAGAGCCUGUAAUUUUCACCCUUACUCUACUGCGCCCAAGAAGUGGAAGACAUACUCCCUACUCCAAGGAGUUUAAGAUCGAAAGAUAAACACAUGCAGUCUGGCUGGGUGUGGUGGCGCAAGCCUAUUGCCAUCCCAGCUAUUUAGGAGGCUGAGACAGGAGAAUUGCUUGAACCUCAGAGGCGGAGGUUGCAGUGGGACAAGAUUGCACCACUGCACUCCAGCCUGGGCAACAGAGCAAGAGUCCAUCUAAAACGAAAAAAACAGAAAAACAAAAAACAAACAAACAAACAAAAAAACAGAUAAAAAACAAAAACAUAUGCAGCCUAAGAUGAAAGAAGACUAGUCCCAUAGGGUACACAUGCACACUUACUAAGAGGAGGCAUAACCUCUACCUGAGUGAAACUUGUCUGAGGCUUUCCUGAAUCUGCAGUGGGGCUGUGUCCCUGAGCCCCUGCACUGCUGCCUCAGAAGGGGCACUAGACCCAAAGACCCAAAGGCAAAAGGCUUGGGUUCAAACUGGUAAGAAGGGACCUGGGUGACUGGAAGAACAGGGUUGAGAGAAGGAAUGUUAUCUGUACCUUUUGAAUUUUGAAACAUGUGAACGAACUAUCAUCUUAAAAAAUAAAUUUGGCCGGGCAAGGUGGCUCACGCCUGUAAUCCCAGCAGUUUGGGAGGCGGAUCAUGAGGUCAAGAGUUCGAGACCAGCCUGGCCAACAUGAUGAAACCCCGUCUCUACUAAAAAUACAAAAUUAGUUGGGUGUGGUGGUGCAUGCUUAUAAUCCCAGCAACUUGGGAAGCUGAGGCAGGAGAAUCACUUGAACCUGGGAAGGCAGAAGUUGCAGUGAGCCGAGAUGGUGCCACUGCCCUCCAGCCUGGGCAACAAGAGGAAAACUCUGUCUCUAAAAUAAAUAAAUAAAUAGGCCAGGCGUGGAGGGAGGUUGCAGUGAGCUGAUAUUGUGCCACUGUACUCCAGCCUGGGUGACAGAGCGAGACUCCAUCUCAAAAAAAAUAAUAAUAAUAAUAAUAAUAAAUUGGUAACAAAAGCAAAUAUGCACUCUGCUAUGGUCUGAAUGUGCCCCCUAAAGUUUAUGGGUUGGAAACUUAAUCUCUGCUGUAAUAGUGUUGAGAAGUGGGAACUUUAAGAGGCAAUUGGGUCACGAGGGCUCUGCCCUCAUUUAUGCCAUUAUCAUGGCAGUGGGUCAGGUUAUCUCAGGAUUAAAAAAAAAAAAAGAUGAGCUUGGCUCCCUUCCUCUCUCAUGCUUGCAAGCUCUCUGGCCCUGCCACCUUCUACCAGGGAAGGAUGUGGCAUGAAGGCCCUCACCAGAUGCCAAUGCAAUGUUCUUGGACUUGCCAGUCUCCAGAACCAUGAGCCAAAUACACUUCUAUUGUUUAUAAAUCACCCAGUCUCAGUUAUUCUGUUAUAGCAACACAAAACAGACCAAGACAUACCCCCAAAAGGCCAGUGGUUAAAAUAAACAUGUUAAAACAAAAGUGAAUUUAUGACUUCAUCUCACCCAGACCCUAGCUGGUCCUCCUCUGAAGUGGGAAUAAUAUCUGCCCUGUCUAGCACAAAGGGCUGUUAGAAAGAUCAAUAGGAUCAUGUGGGGGAAUGUGCUUUGAAAACUGUGAAGUAUUAAACAAAUAUGAGAUGAGAGGGAAAUCUAUCCCACAGAGGAUUAUACUCCCACGUGUGGGCCUAGAGGCAUUUCAAAUACUGUGUUGUGACUCAGGGCCCGUCCCAGCCCCAGUUUUGAAGUAGGCACCAUUUAUGGUCCUAACAACUUCCAUUGUGUUUGAAAUGCCUCCCGUACCCAUUGGGCAGCCUCUCUCCUCGCUCCUGCUGGCUCUCGCCUUCGAGCCGCCUGCAGGAAGGGAAACACUCACACAAGCCCACCUGCAUUGGGUCUCCAGGGUCACUGUUACUCAAGGGUAGUCCUCUCUCCUGGGGCCCCCACCCACCUCUCUAGCCUGGUCCCCAGCUCCUCCUCCCACCCCUGAAGAGCGAACCCUGUGCCAGGCUCUGUGAUGCUCAGACGUGCGGGGCCACACCAGAUUACUCACUGUUCCCUGAACACACCCCACCCUUCCCAGCUGCUCCUGCUCUGCUCCAGGACUAAAGGCCUUUCUUUCUUCACCAUGCUCCCCCCGGGGAAAGCCUCCCCUCCUUUCUAGACCCUGUCCCCAAGUGCACUCCACCAAGGCCCUGUUUGAAAGAAGGUCGCCUGCUCCCUGGCCUGUACUGGCCUUGGGCGUUGUUGAGUCCUCCUGAGACGGCUCCUUCUGCUGCCCACUUUAGCACACGGACCCCAUCUUCCACGGGCCUGAGUCUCCAUGGAGCCUAGCUCAGCACCUUGCCCACAUGAGGUACACAAUGAAUGAUGAUCGCAUUGAAUUUUUAUGAGACAGCUUUUUCAAAAAAGGCAAAAGUAAGGCUCUUUAAGGGUGGGGCUUCAGGCACAGGGGCUUCUGGGUGGGGGAGAGGAGUUUGGGGAGUGAAUCUUUGCUCUUAAACACCCCCACUGCAGGGAGAGCCCUUUUUUCCCUAGAUCCUGCCUUUGCUCAGCAGUCCUGAGGGAGCCUCAGGGAAUGAAUGACUGGGGCUGGAAGCUGCAGCUGGUCUUCAGGCCAAAAGCUGUAAAAGCCCAGACCCCUGAGGCCUUCUGUCUGGGGCAGGCCCCAUGCAGGCUCCUGACUGCAGCCAAGAGCAGGGAUCUCGCCCUUAAAAAUCAACAGUCUCUAAUCCACGUCGGGGUGGGGUUUCUUUUGCAUGUUAUUCCAGCAAUAAUACGUAACUGGUCCAGAAACCGCCUCUGAGCCCUGGGCACAGUCUCACUGAGAGUUCCAGCCCUUGCCCCGAGCUGCAAGCUGGGGCCUAAAGCUGCAGCACCGAGAGGCCACGUGGGGCGAGGCCUCCCCGGAAGGCCUGCGGCGCCGCCGGUGUCCACCAGGGGGCGCCAGGAAACAGCGCGGGGCGGUCCCAGCUCAACCCGCCGGCGCGGGCACACCCGGGCUUUGACCCCUUUGUGAUCGAGGAGACGGACGGGUUUCUCUCUAACAAAAGGGGGCUAUAAAUUACAAACGGAAGCGGAGUGUGUAGGGAAGAACAGGAAAGCACGUGCGUUGAAACCGGAACUCGGGGCUGCUUGCUUGCUUAUUUAUUUUAGUUAUUACUGUUUUCUUGGGGCAGGCCCUUGCUCUGUCGCCCAGGCUGCGGGGUGGUGGCCCCGUCAUAGCUCACUGCAGCCUCGACCUCGGGGCUCAAGCGAUCCUCCUGCUUCAGUCUCCCAAAGUGCCGGGACUGCAGGCGCGAGCCGCCACCCCGGCCUCCGUGCUCUUUCUUAGGGAGCAUUUUCCACCUCCCCUGCAAGAGGCCGUUUUGUCAGUAGCUUUCAGAAAAGACUGUUGUCAUCUCGGGGUUCAGAGUUAAUCGUGGAUUUACCUACCACACAGAAAUUUCCAAAGAAUCGAUCUGCUCCCUCUCAAUAUCCACCCUAAACAAGAGCACUUUCCCAAUCAGCGCCUUGUCCUGGGGCUUCCAGACCCAUCUGGCCUUUUGCUCUUUGCUCUAUGCCCACUUUAGCUGUGAGGUUCUCAGAGACAUUCCCCAAAGCCCUCCCAGCCGAUCUCUGCUGACUUCAAUCCUACUCAUCCCUCAGGGGCUAACAAAAUUGCUAAAAUUUAAACAGUAAUAAUUAAAUAAUGAUAUUGCUGUAUGUCAGGCACGACUCCACAAAGCAGGUAUUAAUACAGAUGGUCCCCAGCUUUCGCACCAUCGUAAGUGAUACACUUUACAAACUGUCCUUCGAGUAGCCAAACAACCACUCUCUUUUUCACUUUCAGUACAUUAUUCAAUGAAUUACACAAGAUAUUCAAUAGUCUCUUAUAAAGUAGGCUUUGUGUUAGAUGAUGUUGCCCAGCAGUAGGCUGGUGUAAGUGGGCUGAGCACGCUGAAGUUAAGCUAGGCUAAACUAUGAAGUUCAGUAGGCUAAGUGUAUUAAAUGCAUUUUGACUUACAAUAUUUUCAACUUACUAUGGGUUUAUCAGAAUGUAGCUCUAUCAUAAGUUGAGAAGCAACACUAGUCUCAUAUAUAUAUAUAUACAUAUAUAUAGGUACAUAUAUAUAUAAAUAUUUUGGCAUGAUCUUGGCUCACUGCAACCUCCACCUCCUGGAUUCAAGCAAUUCUCCUGCCUCAGCCUCCCAAGUAACUGGGAUGUAGUCCCAUUCUACAAGUGAAGAAGUUGAGGCUCAAAGAGGUCAAAUGCCCAAAGUCACCAGAUACUGAGGGAUGGCCCCAGUGUCUAAAUCCUAAGCCUGCGUUUUUCUCCUAUAUGCCAGUGGUUCUCCAUGUGUGCUCCUUGAAGUAGCAGCAGCAACAUCACCUGAAAACUCACUAGAAAUGAAAAAUUUUUAAAUUUUUGUAGAGAUGGGGUCUCACCAUGUUGGCCAGGCUAGUCUCGAACUCCCGAGUUCAAGCGAUUCUCCCACCUCAGCCUCCCAAACUGUUGGGAUUACAGGCGUGAGCCACUGCACCAGGCCCCGAGAUCACCCUUUUAUUUUUAUUUUUUUUUAAGACAGGGUCUCCCUCUGUCACCCUAAGGGAGGAGACCAUCCCUCACAUUGUCUUAUGCCCAAUUUCUGCCUCCAAAGAAAGAAGAAGUAAAAACUAAAAGGCAGAAAUGAAAUCCACAAGCAGACAGCCCGGCCCCACACCCUGGGCCUGGUAGUUAAAGAUCGACCCCUGACGUAAUCAGUUAUUUGUAUAAGAAAAGCACUGUGAAGAUCCCUGUCCUGUUCUGUUCCGUUCUAAUUACCGGUGCAUGCAGCCCCCGGUCACGUACCCCCUGCUUACUCAAUCAAUCAUGACCCUCUCAUGCGGACCCCCUUAAAAGUUGUGAGCCCUUAAAAGGGACAGGAAUUGCUCACUCGGGGAGCUUGGUUGUUGGAGAUGUGAAUCUUGCCGAAGCUCCUGGCCGAAUAAAGCCCUUCUUUCUUUAA
Molecule: RNA transcript, 20859 nt
Organism: Pan troglodytes (chimpanzee)
Lineage: Eukaryota; Metazoa; Chordata; Mammalia; Primates; Hominidae
Gene: B4GALNT3
Gene name: beta-1,4-N-acetyl-galactosaminyltransferase 3
Exons: 20
Source: RefSeq, a predicted model, not a curated record